Armigeres subalbatus is the source of this 7210-nucleotide RNA transcript. It is a transcript of the gene named cell adhesion molecule DSCAM-like, with no coding region annotated. NCBI's taxonomy places the organism in Eukaryota, Metazoa, Arthropoda, Insecta, Diptera, Culicidae. The transcript is spliced from 10 exons. The record is from RefSeq and is a predicted model, not a curated record.
UUCGACUGUGAACUGGAACCGAGCGGACACGUGCGCGGCAUAUCGUUGGCGGAGACUUGACCACAGCAAGUAAGGCUUUAGAUUCCUGUUCUGUGUGUGUUCCCCACCGUUAACUGCAAUCGGAGCCUGAGGGGUGUGCAAUUGCCUUUCGAGCGUAGUGUCGGUCGAUGGAGGGCCAUUAAGGUUAAUUUUAUGCACAUUCCGGACUGGUCUGGUGACGGGUGGUGAUUUCCGUGCUGAAAAGGUGUGCAAUUUCGAUUCGAACGGGAUUCACUUCGGGGAUACUUCCGGGAUCCAUCUGUGCGAGCGAAAUGGGGUGCUUGAUCCGAGGGGAACCUACGUGCUUGCUGGCCAUUUCCUAGUGGUGCUAAUGAUUGGGGUGAGAGAGGGCAGUGAAUCCGAAACGAAUUUAGUGCUUCCAGCCAGAAGCUGGCCCCUCGUUGUUGGGUGGAAAGUGUAUUGUUAAUUGUACAUUACACGGCAUCGUUCUGCAAUGACUGGUCCCUCGAGGGAGGGAUGAGCUGCUGGCAUCACCGUGGAAGGUGUGGUGCGAAGUUGAUACGGCGACAGCAGUGAAGUGAACUACCAGCAGUGCCAGCCAGUUGUCUGCUUCCGUGUCGUGUUUCUUUCUGGAGAGUGGGUGGUUACUCGGUUGGUUGGGUCGUAGCGGAGUAAUCCUUACAUCGCCACUGCUGGCGUUUUUUGCCUAUUUCUGUUGUGGAAACCAAAACCCGCUGCAGUGAACGUGAAAUGAUUUAUUAAUUGCAUAAAACCGACGACGUACCGAAGAGCAUAAAUCAAGUUGAAUCGUGAAAAGGGGAAAGCUUUCUUACAUUACGCGGGAUAGCUUUGGUGAAACAAGAAACGCCGAGUCAUGAAAAGUGUUCAACAACAAAGUACAAAGGAUAAAAACAUGUUAUUAGAGAAGUUUCAAGUGGUGUGAUAUGCAAAUUGAGUCCUUGAUAACAAGGCAAACGAAUCCCCUUAUGUGUUGAUGUUGCGAAUAAACAAAUGAAAACAUUGCAGUGAUAUACUCUGGCCAGAGAGCUAUGUGCAAGACAGGAAUUACUCACGCUAUGGGAUUUGAGAAGCGUUUUGAAUGCAAUAGAUGCGUCGUCGUCCUUCGGUGCUACCACCAACGUUGAUGGAAAGAGACAUAAACCGUACCUGGAACCCGUAUAGAGCACUUACUACGAACGGAAUAAAAUCUCCCCCGGUUAUCUCCGCUAGUGACAAAUAGAAAACACACCGAACGACCCAAUCUCCGGAAGACAACUUCAGACCGGCACUGGAGGCCAUCGAGAGUAUGUGAGCUAAAAGGAAAACUCUAGAGAACACAGUGAAUGAAGAAAAAAUAGAACACGAAGCAAAAAAGUGAAAUGUGCAAGAAUACAUAAACAGCCCACAAAAAGUACGACUGUGAAUAACUCAACAGGGAACGGGGCAAGCAAAAAGUGAAUAAGGCUUCCACAUAGAAGUAACGAUAUCUCCGGUUUUGUUCCAUACCAGCUCUUUUGGUGCCAAUGGGAAAGCUCAUUUGAAUUAUGAAUUUUGCUCGUGACCGUUCGAUGCCACACAUGGAUUCGGCAAUAUGACAAUGACGUCGACGCGGUGAAGCCGAUCGAACGAAGCGGAACCAAUUAGCUUCGACAGUGUUUUAUGUUGUUUAUGCUCUCGAGGAUAUUCGUAAUUAGUUUGAAAACUGUUCCAAUGGAAAUGAAAAACUGUUUUCCACGCAGCAUCGGGUACGUGAGUGAAAUCAUUCCACAAUGCCGUAAAGAAAAUGUAUAAAUUAAAACAGCUCAGUGCAGAAACUACGUAAGCAGCGCCAGACCCGAUGGGUUUCCGAGAAGCGAAACCACUAUUGAAACAAUCGCUGAUGCGCACAAAAUGGUGACUACCAGAACGGAACUGCAGCAACGGUGCAUCGUCAGCAGUAAAACUCACUUCUAACUGGGACCGAGUGCAGUGCUACUUCACUACUAUGAACACGAAGCUGAGACUAAUUGCAUCGUUGAUUAACUUCUUCGUCAUCGCAGUGGCAGACACCCUCAGUCCCGACCUCCAGAUGUACUGGGAGAACAGCAUGGUGCAUCCGUACUUCGACAAUACAACCAAACGCGACGUGACUGCAAUCGCAGGACAGACUUGCCAGCUGCACUGUCGAGUCAAAAGUCUGGGAGACCGAGCGGUAUCCUGGAUACGGAAACGAGAUCUACAUAUCCUAACCGUUGGCAUACUGACGUACACCAACGACCAGCGCUUCCAGUCGCUCCAUACCGAAGGCAGUGACGAGUGGACGUUACGGAUAACGUCUCCCCAGGCACGGGACUCCGGCGUCUACGAGUGCCAAGUAUCGACUGAGCCGAAAAUUAGUCAAGCCUUUCGCUUAAACGUAGUUGUAUCGAAAGCGAAGAUUCUAGGGAAUGCGGAAUUGUUCGUAAAGAGUGGUAGUGACAUUAAUUUGACCUGCGUUGCCCUGCAGUCGCCCCAGCCGCCUUCCUUCAUCUACUGGUAUAAGGGCGGCCGAGUCAUCAAUUAUUCGCAACGGGGCGGCAUAAGCGUGCUGACCGAGCAGCAAACUCGAACGAGCCGGUUGGUCAUUGCCCGUGCCUCCCCAUCGGACUCCGGGAACUACACUUGCUCACCCAGUAAUUCCGAUUCUGCUAGUGUCGUUGUGCACGUUAUCAAAGGAGAGCAUCCAGCUGCGAUGCAACAUGGAGUGAAUCGAUGCACUAUUGUGCACAAAUCAGAACAGAUCAUCGGAGUGCUCGUUAUAUCGCUCUGCAUUCAUCUGCUGGUCAGCGUGUUCCCCAACAGAUAAGGCCAAUCAUAAGAGGAUGCGAAACACGAAGCCGCUUCAGUUGACUGUUUUUUUCUCGCUUAGUAUAAAUAUGUACCAUAAACAGAAAACCAUCUCCGUAGAGGCAUCGUCUAGAACCAGGAAAGGGCAGGACACCAAACAUCCAACUAGCAGCGACACACAUCACCGACGACGACAGCCGCGCCACCACUAUCCCAGGCACUAUAACAACAGCAGCAUUUGAUAUUCCGAACCGUCACACCGAGCAAGUAGCACUCACCAAUCCUACCGUAUGACAAGAUACACCCACAUGCAUAAUAACAUUCGCCAAUUUUACGUACGACAACGAGGAAGCUCAUCACUCUUAUGCGAUGUGACGACGAAGAGGACAUCGUCGUUCUCGGAACUAGGUAGAACGUGAAUAGCAGCGCGUGCAGAAGACCAUGACGAGCACUUUGCGAUGAUAAUCCUCCCAAAAGAUAACCUUGAGAAAUUCCUCGCGUCCACGUCGGCCAUCGAAACUUCCCAAGCACGUGGAAAACUUCACCGGCGGGGACCAUCACAGCAUCGGUCGGCACUGCAGAAAGCUGGCUUGCUGCGACAAAGCAUACAAAGCUUGGCCGCGAGUACAGCUUUGUUUUCCCAACUCGAAAAUAGCUCAACAGCUCUGCCAUCGCCCAUAUCGCAUCAGUGACAGCCCUCGGCAAAUGAGUACGAGUUCCACACGUCCCGGCUCCAGGAAAAGUCAUGGCCAAACACUUCGCUACGAGAAGGAACGGCAAGUCUAGCGUAGGUAAAGCAUGAUAUAAGGGUAGGCGAUAUUUAGAAUGGUUCGCUUUUCGAUACAAAAACGGAAGGAAAAUUAUUAUUAAGAGUGCUCUUUCUCUUCCGUUAAUUACAAAACGGUUAUCAUGCACUCUUUGGAUCCAAGCCAAAAUCACUGUUUUUUAGUUCGUUUUAUGAAAUAAAGUAAAAUUCAGUCUACGCAUUUUGAAUCAAUAAGGAGUCUUAGUUUUCAUUCUUCUUUUAUUUCUAUUUACCUAUUUAUAUUGGCACGAAAACAUUCGUAUCGCAUUCCCCAAACACUGCAACAUACAUCAAGAAAAAGCAUUUUAUAAUGAUGGAUGGUGACAAGUACCUCCGCCGCCGCCGGUGGGGAAGACAACCCAAAGACUCCUACUACACUAGCGCGCGCUCCGGAAGUGCUCGCUAUGCUUGUGCAAUGCACAUUACUCUCUCUCUAUAUAGGUAUACAAAGGACUCGCGGAAAAGUUCAGUUUCUUGCGCUAGGUUGUGCGAGUGAGCGGUACUAGGAGGAAACAGGAAGGCCAAAGAACCGAUACAUCAAAGUGGAAAACUUUUCCUCUGACGGGCCCGGGCUAUGGGUGUCGGUUUCAUGAAGGUUGUGUGCGGUUCACUCGCCGUCGGAAGCAAUGACGUGUGAUACUUGGUCCACGGACGGACGAGCGGCCACAGAGCAAAACUUGCAGCACGGAUGGAGAGGGCAGUAUAUUUACGUCAAAAUUUGCUACUGUCAUGCCAAGGACAAUCAACUUCCAUCACAGUUUGGGUUUUUUCGUUUCAGAUUUCUAUCGCAAAUUAAGAGGAAAUAUUUCCUUUUCGUAAAAAAAGGACCUGCUGACAGAGCGGUUUUUGUCAUGUGAUCGUUAUUUUUGUUCUUUGGAGGACAAACCAACUCUUACCGAAGUUUCAACUAGAUUCACAAAUGCCCUUAAUGCCAUAUGGGAUGUAUUUUCAUGUUGUUAAAUGCAUGGUUUUGUCCUGACAAUGAUCCGAACAAAGGAUUGAAGUGCAAUUUGUUCUGCUUUGCAUUCUUUGAUUCAUCUUUUGUUUUCCGGAACACAUUUGGUAACAAGAUAACCAUUUUUUAUUUUAUACCAUAAUCCUUUGUUCAUGACUAGAUAUGGCUUUAGAAUAGAAAGAUAACCGAGGUUUACUUUAUUAUAUGAUUUACUUUACUUUAUUAUAUGAUGUAACAAUAAUCUCGAAUUCACUGUAAAUGUUUCGAAAAAUUCGGCUCCACGGAAAAUCUUUUUUUUUUGCCUUCCUUAGCUAUUACUAAGUAUACGUAAAGGCUAUAUGUCUGUAGCUAUAUGCAUGUUCGUUCCAAAAAUAUUUGUUUUCGACGAAUUGAGGUGAUGUGUAUGUGCGCAAAAAGUGUCAUUUUUUGGCACUUUUGCUUAACUGAUUUGCUUGCAACAAGUUGCAUUCGAUGCAGAAUUAUUUCGUAUUGUUUCCUAUUGAAAAUUGACCGGUUCGGACUAUGGGCUUCCUCGAUUUUAUUACAUUUUUUAUAUGAUUUCGUCACGUUGCGUUUUUGAAUGGAUUUUCAUAUUAAAAAAGAAUUUAAAAUAAACCUUGAUUAAUCCAUCCAAUGGCGUCAACUUGAAAACUUAAGUUAAUUUUUUUCUUAGCGCGUUUUUACUAUAAAAAUAGAUUUUUUGCUAUAAUUUCUGAUCUCAUAGUCCGAUCUGACAUAUUUACAAUAGGAAACAAUGGGACAGAAUUCUACGUCGAAUGGAACCUGUUACAAGUAAAUUGGUUAAGGAUAAGUGCGUAAUUUUGAGUGAGUGAGUUUUUUACGCAAAUACAUACAUACACACGCACACACAUACAUCAUCUCAAUUCAUCAAGCUAAGUCGAUUAGUGUAUAACACUAUGGGCUCCCAGGCCUUCCAUAAAAAGUUUGUUUUGAAGCUUCUUCAGGAAUCUCUACGACAAAUUCUUCUGGAAAUCUUCUGGAUCUUGCGGAUGUUAUUCCAAGAUUUCUUCUGAUGAAAUAAUUAAUAUUGAGCGUCUUAGGGGAAAAGAUUAUAGUGGAAGUAAAUGGAAGUUUGAAAUUUUUUAACUUUGUAGGAAUUUCUGGUUCGAAUAACUGGAGGGUUUUUCGAAUAAAUUCUUAAAUGAUUUAGAUAUUUCCGAAGUUGUGCUACGAAUAUGGCCAGCUGUCUACAAGCACAAGUGAAGCUUAUAGUGUCAAACAACAUCAAUCAAAUCUCGCUUAACUUUUCAAAAGGACCUAAGUAACAUUUUUUUCAUGAAUUUGAAUAGCGCAAUCAACAGAACAACAUGAAAGCUGUUGAUUACAUUACUCAAAUUAAUUCAUGAAAAAAUGUUACUUAGGUCCUUUUGAAAAGUUAAGCGAGAAAUCCAUUCUAAGUAACGUGUGGAGACACUUUGCAGAUCAAUGUCAUCAGAAACAGUGGCAUUACCGUAAUAGGAAAAAAAAGACACACACAUUCUACACAAGGAUAAAAAUUUCUCCAAAUGGAAGCCUCAUGAUUAGGAUGUUUUGCUCUAGACCAGAGUUCUAACUGAGAGUUUUCAAUGUUUCAAUAUCUACUCAUCUAAUAAAUUUGCUAAAUUUUUCUAAACUGUUUAUUCUUUGUCAGUAGUGUCAGUAUAUACCAAUUAUCUGUCAUAAAUAAUCAAUCAUCUGGAGAGAAUGUCGAUUUUUAUGCAGUUGGUAUUUGAUUUCAUCUAAUCACGAUUUGAAUUAAAUUUUACUGCAAAUUUCUUUGUGAUUUUCAACUUCCAGUGAAUGUGUUUCUUAAGUUUGAUGAAAAAACCAAGCUGAUGCCCUAAGAUCCCUCGGAGAUGUAGGAUGUAUGCCAAAUAUCCAGGAGCUCUUUAUUGUGGGCAGAGGGUUGUGGAGAAGAAAUCUGUUGUUAUAGAUUAUCAUCGUCAGAAAAAGCCUCGUUUACAACAUCUUCCCAGAACCAUUUGAAAGAUGAUUCAAUCUUACACAGAGGCCAAAUUACGGUGGAAAAAAUAUUCCAACCUCAUCGUAUUUCUCGGAAAGGAAGAGUAUGGCAACUAAAAUCAAUAUUUUUUGUUAUUUUCCCAUCGCCCCAUCAACGAGUUUCUUUCGAACGGAGAUGCUUUCGGGUUGUUUAGCCUUCCUGUUUCAAAAGAUAGAAAAGACGAUGCAUUUUGAUGAUGAAGUAGAGUUCGCAAAAAUGCUUCCCAAUAAUAAACCUGACCCAAUUCAAAUCAGAUAUAGUGAGCGAAGCCAUAGAAAGCCAAACCAAGAAGAAGAGAAGCAACAUUCGCACGGAAGAUCGUAAUUUUAUGGCAAACUGUAUAAAUAUGUAAAAUAAAGGUACUCCGAGUAAUACAUUUUAAUGCAUCAUUAGUCUAAUUAAAAGUUUAUUAAGAAAAAGAGUAAAACGAAACAUUUUAGUCCCAAUUUAUGAAGUGCUAAAAUUUGUUGAUAUUAAACGCAGCAGAUGGGAGGGAUUAUCCGGAGAUAGUGAAAUGUAUAAAAUUAGCACGCUGAAGAUUUGUCAGAAGAGUCUCAGUUAUUGUAUAAGCAGAAAAAGAAACUUGAAUGAAUGAGAAUAAAACGAAAGCGAAAAUGAGAUAGCAAAAAUGUUUAUUUAUGAA